RNAcentral lists this ribosomal RNA (253 nucleotides) under uncultured bacterium. RNAcentral's name for it is "partial 16S ribosomal RNA". It matches the Rfam family "Bacterial small subunit ribosomal RNA", at positions 524 to 776 of the family's 1533-position model. The record is from RNAcentral.
UACGUAGGGUGCAAGCGUUGUCCGGAAUUAUUGGGCGUAAAGAGCUCGUAGGCGGUUUGUCGCGUCGAAUGUGAAAACCCGGGGCUCAACCCCGGGCCUGCAUUCGAUACGGGCAGACUAGAGUUCGGUAGGGGAGUCUGGAAUUCCUGGUGUAGCGGUGAAAUGCGCAGAUAUCAUGAGGAACACCGGUGGCGAAGGCGGUUCUCUGGGCCGAUACUGACGCUGAGGAGCGAAAGCGUGGGGAGCGAACAGG